Molecule: ribosomal RNA, 264 nt
Filed under: Shigella sonnei
Lineage: Bacteria; Pseudomonadati; Pseudomonadota; Gammaproteobacteria; Enterobacterales; Enterobacteriaceae
Description: partial 16S ribosomal RNA
Rfam family: Bacterial small subunit ribosomal RNA
Source: RNAcentral
AAAUUGAAGAGUUUGAUCAUGGCUCAGAUUGAACGCUGGCGGCAGGCCUAACACAUGCAAGUCGAACGGUAACAGGAAGCAGCUUGCUGCUUCGCUGACGAGUGGCGGACGGGUGAGUAAUGUCUGGGAAACUGCCUGAUGGAGGGGGAUAACUACUGGAAACGGUAGCUAAUACCGCAUAAUGUCGCAAGACCAAAGAGGGGGACCUUCGGGCCUCUUGCCAUCGGAUGUGCCCAGAUGGGAUUAGCUAGUAGGUGGGGUAAC